Molecule: non-coding RNA, 691 nt
Organism: Lepisosteus oculatus (spotted gar)
Lineage: Eukaryota; Metazoa; Chordata; Actinopteri; Semionotiformes; Lepisosteidae
Source: RefSeq, a predicted model, not a curated record
GCCCCAGGACCUCUUCUCCUGGCCUGCCUGACACAGAGCUUUCUGGGUCAGACACUCUCGCAGCUCACAACAGGCAUGUCUUCUACUGUUAUACUCCUCUGUAUAAGAACAAUCAUAGUAGCAGGAGUGCUGACAGGGCGCCCCCAGGUGGUGAGCAGCAGCACACUGAGAAGAUGAGGAGCUCAGGUCUAGGAGGGGGCAGAGACCAGCAGCCCUCUUCCUCACUGGACAGCUCCAGUGUCGCGUGCUGCUCUCCAGGACAGCGCCUCCUCUCAGCGUCAGAGCGGCCUUCAGAGAGACCACCCAGCUCCUGGGGUAGUGAACCGCCCAUUCAGACAGUUCUAGGAGCGGAUUCACACACUCAUCACAAGAAGCCAUGACCAGCGUUGCUUCUCUCCUGAGUGCCUUGAUUUUUAUAAGUGAGCUUACUUCCACCAGCAAGCAAUGGCCGAUAAAAGUAAUAACAUCUCUGUUGCUUUACUUUACUUUUCCAGAACUGCAACGAGGGACAUUUAUUGAAGAAUAUAUUCAGAAAUCUAGCUUGAUUGACUGACAUCUUCUUUCUGAUCUAGCUAGGAUCACAUUUUGUAAUAUCCACUAUUCAAAACCGACAAUAUUUCAAACUGUGAGAAUCAUACUUUAAUAAUAUGAGGAACACAUGACAGGAAGUGCCCAGAGUGCUUUGCAGUGU